RNAcentral lists this ribosomal RNA (215 nucleotides) under uncultured bacterium. RNAcentral describes it as "partial 16S ribosomal RNA". It matches the Rfam family "Bacterial small subunit ribosomal RNA", at positions 524 to 737 of the family's 1533-position model. The record is from RNAcentral.
UACAGAGGGGGCGAGCGUUGUUCGGAAUUACUGGGCGUAAAGGGCGCGUAGGCGGCCUCUUAAGUCGAAACGUGAAAUCCCCGGGCUCAACCCGGGAACUGCGUCCGAUACUGGGAGCUUGAAUCCGGGAGAGGGAUGUGGAAUUCCAGGUGUAGCGGUGAAAUGCGUAGAUAUCUGGAGGAACACCGGUGGCGAAGGCGGCAUCCUGGGACCGG